Molecule: long non-coding RNA, 403 nt
Filed under: Equus caballus (horse)
Lineage: Eukaryota; Metazoa; Chordata; Mammalia; Perissodactyla; Equidae
Description: lncRNA (ENSECAG00000046057.1)
Source: RNAcentral
AGCUGUGCCAAAUUUGAUGCUCUGAAAGGGAAGACCUGUGCCCACGCCUGCAAAAUUAGUGUCCUAGAAAGGAAGUGGCUCGAUGGCAAAUCAUCGGAACGCUACCUGAAUGAGCCCAUGUGUGUUCUUAAAGCUGAAGUGAGUCUGACUUCACCAAAAGCUCCACUUUUAGAGAGCCUCUGAUUGCAGUAUUAGCUUUUAUGACGUGGAAAGAGUUGGACAAUGAGAGAAAAAUCAGUCUCAGAUGCUGCUAUAGACACACCCACCUGCUGUGAAAGAUCACACUCAAAGAGACCUGAGACAAAAAUGCUAGAAUCACAGAAGUGGAAGAGACCUUAGAGACAAACGAGACCCUUGUUCCACAAAAGAUGAAAGUGGAACUUAGCGGGAAACCGUUUGGCCC